UGCAAGUCGAGCGAGAAAGGGCUUCGGCCCCGGUACAGCGGCGCACGGGUGAGUAACACGUAGGUAAUUUACCCCUGAAUGGUGGAUAACCCUCCGAAAGGAGGGCUAAUACAGCAUAAGACCACGGCCUCUUCGGAGGCUGAGGCCAAAGCGGGCCACUUCACGAAAGCUCGCGUUUGGGGAUGAGCCUGCGGCCCAUCAGCUAGUUGGCGGUGUAACGGACCACCAAGGCUAAGACGGGUAGCUGGUCUGAGAGGAUGAACAGCCACACUGGAACUGAGACACGGUCCAGACUCCUACGGGAGGCAGCAGUGGGGAAUCUUGCGCAAUGGGCGAAAGCCUGACGCAGCGACGCCGCGUGAGUGAUGAAGGCCUUCGGGUUGUAAAGCUCUGUGGGGAGAGACGAAUAAAUGCCGGCUAACACCCGGCAUGAUGACGGUAUCUCCUUAGCAAGCACCGGCUAACUCUGUGCCAGCAGCCGCGGUAAGACAGAGGGUGCAAACGUUGUUCGGAAUUACUGGGCGUAAAGCGCGUGUAGGCGGCAGGGCGUGUCGGAUGUGAAAUCCCGUGGCUCAACCACGGAAGUGCACCCGAAACUGCCCAGCUUGAGUCUCGGAGAGGAAGGCGGAAUGCUUGGUGUAGAGGUGAAAUUCGUAGAUAUCAAGCGGAACACCGGUGGCGAAGGCGGCCUUCUGGACGAUGACUGACGCUGAGACGCGAAAGCGUGGGGAGCAAACAGGAUUAGAUACCCUGGUAGUCCACGCCGUAAACGAUGAGUGCUAGGUGUCAC
Molecule: ribosomal RNA, 790 nt
Filed under: uncultured Polyangiaceae bacterium
Lineage: Bacteria; Pseudomonadati; Myxococcota; Polyangiales; Polyangiaceae
Description: bacterial SSU rRNA
Rfam family: Bacterial small subunit ribosomal RNA
Source: RNAcentral